ACUGGGUACACUUAAUAAUAAAUUGUGAGAUUAUUGGUGUAAGUAUAAUUUGUAAAAUUGUAUUUGAUGGGAUUAAUAUAUAUUUCAUUCGAACUUAAUUUCAAAAUCAUUCACGACAUAAUUUAUUUCCAUGAGUCCUUUUUUAUGCACUGUACGACAUUUCCAACAUCAUAUUAUUUCAAAAAUCAUGGAACAUUGAAUGAAACCGAAUAAGGACUUUUUGGAAACGAACUCAAUCGGAAUCAGACCCACAAACAAAGCUAAUAAGUCUCUUUCAACCACGGUCUCACAAUUUCUAUAGAGUAGCCGCUACUCAGUGGUGCAAAGAUUAUAUACACGGAGUAGCGUGGUUCUCAUGUUGUCCUGGUUCUGGUUUUAAAUGUAUGAAAUAGCCAUGACGCGAAGCUGCUAUCUAAGGAUUGACGUGCCUAGGGUAAGGAUGAAAAUUUUGACAUUAACCUAAAAUUGGCUAAGUAUGUCCGACCUCUGCUGGAUUCACUCGCCAUUCCGUCAAUAUUCAGCAGUACUAAACCAGAACAACCUGGCACCAUUCAAAAUGCUACUGAAGAUUGUGUUAAGGAAAAACUCUCGAUAGAACCUUUAUCAAACUUGGCCGAUCACGAUUUAUCUCAAAUUGAGCCUGGCGGUACUUUCACAAUCAGUGAUUUUGCUGAUGUCAAAUUAUCCAACAAUAACUUGAACAAUGACUGCUCCUUUACAUGUAUUUUCAUACAUUUUAGAAUAAUUUUAAAAAUAAUAUUAUUGUCCACAUCAAGUCAAAAGAAUUUAUCCAGUAAAUUGAUUUGAAAAGAAUGUGCUAAUCAUACAUCUGUGAAUAUAAACAUAAGAAUUAAAAACAAAAAUUCACAGACAGCAAUACAACUUUUUGUCACUGAAAGGGGUGCUGAAAAUUUUGUGAUGAAGGAACCUCAGACAGAACCAGUCGAUUUGCCUGAGAUUUAGCCUACCAGUAUUUCAAUGGACUGCUGUUCCAAUGAUAUCAAAUUGUCCAGUGAUACUCUGAACAAUGGCUGUCCCUUUGCAGUCGGAAUGUUUGAUAUAAUCUUGAAUAAAUUUAAUAUUAUCUCCAAUUGAUACCUAAAUGUGGCGAAUUUGUGGGUUGAUUUGAAACAAAUUUGAUAGAUUCAAGACGUUUUAGAGAGUUUUGAAAGAUUUGAGAGAGCAAACGGAUAGAGAAUGUUUAAUGUGAAAGUAUGCAAAAUAAUUUAAAACAUUUAGAAAUAUGCAUUGAAAGUUUAAUUAAUAAACCAGUAUUGUAUGUUGAGAAAAUUGCCUCAUUUUGAAUUCUAUCAAUUAACACAUCCACCUCAAUUGAUCAAUAUCAAUAAAAAAAAAUUAAAUUCUAUAAUCACACUAUAUAAUGGAAUAAAAUAAAAAUAACAUCUAUAUAUAGAUGUCAUGAUCCAGCAAAAAAUUAAUAUUAAUGACAUAAAAGACUUCUUGUAUAGGAAUCGAAACAUAAAUAAUCAUUACAUUGUAGGAAAUUUCUAUAUAGACAUUUUAGACAACACGUCAACAAUUGUUAAUGAAUACAUUAAUAACUAUCUUGAAUACUGCUUCAUACCUUCUUUCUUUAUAGUUACAAGACCAAGUAAAAUAAUACUGUAAUGGGAUGUUGCAUUGACUACAUUUUUAUUAGAUCUAAUUAUUCUAAAGCUGCCCCUACACUAUCAAGCCGCUUGAUCAAAUGCUUGACCAAAUUGAUUGUAUCAAGCGUGAUUGAUAGUUUAGAAGCCCGUUUGACGCUUGAACCAAGCGUUGACGGUGAUUGAUAGAAAUUCUGAAUGACUCAAGCGGCUUGAUAGUGCAGGACAAUUUCCGUCAAGCAUUGCGUCAGUCACUCGGUGGAAGCCAUGACGUCAACUUCCCAACCCGCGUCUCCCGAAAACUCGGAUCGGGAGUUUAUUAGGUUAUUGAUUGAUCUGUAUCUUGAUUGUCGGGAGUUGUGGAAAAUAAAAAUUAAAGACUAUUUCAAUAGAAAUAAAAAAAGUGCUGCACUUGAAAAAAUCGUGGGUGCAUUGAGAAAGUUAAAACCGGAUUUCACCGUGAGAAAAUUAAAACAAAAAAUAAAUGUUCUCAGAACUAACUUCAACAGAGAGUUCAAGGCCAUCAAGAGUAAAAAAAUUAGACGUCUACAGAUGACAUCCCUGAACCCUCACUUUGGUAUUUCAAUGAAAUCUACUUCAUAAAAGACCAAUUGGAAAUCGCACAGACUGAUACUUCGGAGGAACCAUCGAUUCCUCAUGAAGACUCGCAAUCUCAAGUCAACUCGGAAAGUGUCGAAUCCCCUUCUGACGUGGUUACACCCCGAACUCCCAAAAGAGCUAUCACGGGUAAAAGAAGGAAAGGUGUCCCAGACAGCACUGAUCAAUUAGUAGGACUAGCGACUGAAUAUUUUAAGCGACCUGAGACUGAAGAAGAUAUUGUCGCUAGGGGGUGGGCUAUGAAAUUGAAAAAGUUAGCUCCAGACCAACGACGCUUCGCAGAGAAAAUCAUAAAUGACGCGCUUUUUGAAGCAGAAAUGGGCACCUUGACAAGGGAAGGAGUGUGUUGUGAAACGUUCCCUCGUUGGUCAGCCACGUCACCUGCGUCGUCAUGUUCUUCAGUAAAUAGUUGGCAAACGUACCCCCAGUCAGUGCCGUCACUGCACACUUCAACAGAAAGCCUAUCAUACCAACGGCAACACCAUACAACGUCUCAUGAAGAUAAUGCUGCUACGUUCUUCUCCUCAUUUAGUUCAAUGUGAACUUGUGCCCCUAAUGAUUUCAGUUCAGUACUAAUGUUCAUAAAUUGGGAAAUAUCUGUAUUUAUUAUUU
Molecule: long non-coding RNA, 2837 nt
Organism: Diorhabda carinulata
Lineage: Eukaryota; Metazoa; Arthropoda; Insecta; Coleoptera; Chrysomelidae
Exons: 3
Source: RefSeq, a predicted model, not a curated record